GCUUGCCGUAGUCAAACGGGAGACAGUACGUUCUUCGCAUUUGUAAUUUAUCUCUCAGGUUACCAGAGUCAGCUGGGGAUUCAUGAACAUCAUCAGUGAUGUUUCUCCACAGCGGGCUCAUCAGUACCUGGUGACAGAAGGUCGAUCCAGCUCUGACUUGAGGCUGUUCAAGAAUCAGCUCCACUUGAUCUGGUUCCACCUCUACCACAGGCAGAGAAACACAGGUGCAAAGGCAGCUGGCAGAGGAAUGGCCAAGAAAAGGAAAGACCUCACUGAGCGAAAAAGAUGAGGACAAAAGCUGGUGAUGAUUCAGUGCAGCUGGUCUCAGGGGAUGAAGCAAAAGCCUGAUCAACUUCUCUACAAAAACAAGGCUCAAUGAGACGGGGGAAGUAAACAGCGAUACAUUCACCCAGACUGCUGAUGUUCCUGUAUGAACUGAAAAACUUUGAACAUCCAAGAAAAAGCUGAGAUCCCACCUGAGAUGUUUUCUACGCCCUACAGACGAGGGGGCGCCACAAUGGUUGGGGAGAUGCUUUUUCCUUCAGUGGAACAAUGGAGCUUCAGGAGGUGCAGGAGUGUCAAAAGGCUGCUGGCUAUGUCCAGAUAAUGCAGAGA
This is a long non-coding RNA of Pelmatolapia mariae (spotted tilapia), 615 nucleotides long. RefSeq lists it as uncharacterized. The record is from RefSeq and is a predicted model, not a curated record. NCBI's taxonomy places the organism in Eukaryota, Metazoa, Chordata, Actinopteri, Cichliformes, Cichlidae. The transcript has 5 exons.